RNAcentral lists this ribosomal RNA (476 nucleotides) under uncultured organism. Its description in RNAcentral is "partial 16S ribosomal RNA". It matches the Rfam family "Bacterial small subunit ribosomal RNA", at positions 332 to 799 of the family's 1533-position model. The record is from RNAcentral.
UACACUCCUGCGGGAGGCAGCAGUGGGGAAUAUUGCACAAUGGGCGCAAGCCUGAUGCAGCCAUGCCGCGUGUAUGAAGAAGGCCUUCGGGUUGUAAAGUACUUUCAGCGGGGAGGAAGGCGAUAAGGUUAAUAACCUUGUCGAUUGACGUUACCCGCAGAAGAAGCACCGGCUAACUCCGUGCCAGCAGCCGCGGUAAUACGGAGGGUGCAAGCGUUAAUCGGAAUUACUGGGCGUAAAGCGCACGCAGGCGGUCUGUCAAGUCGGAUGUGAAAUCCCCGGGCUCAACCUGGGAACUGCAUUCGAAACUGGCAGGCUAGAGUCUUGUAGAGGGGGGUAGAAUUCCAGGUGUAGCGGUGAAAUGCGUAGAGAUCUGGAGGAAUACCGGUGGCGAAGGCGGCCCCCUGGACAAAGACUGACGCUCAGGUGCGAAAGCGUGGGGAGCAAACAGGAUUAGAUACCCCAGUAGUCCCAUG